RNAcentral lists this ribosomal RNA (102 nucleotides) under Citrobacter freundii. RNAcentral also lists the same sequence under 10 other names. The record is from RNAcentral. Lineage: Bacteria; Pseudomonadati; Pseudomonadota; Gammaproteobacteria; Enterobacterales; Enterobacteriaceae.
CGCGGUGGUCCCACCUGACCCCAUGCCGAACUCAGAAGUGAAACGCCGUAGCGCCGAUGGUAGUGUGGGGUCUCCCCAUGCGAGAGUAGGGAACUGCCAGAC